Ribosomal RNA from Panthera pardus (leopard), 108 nucleotides. NCBI's taxonomy places the organism in Eukaryota, Metazoa, Chordata, Mammalia, Carnivora, Felidae. The record is from Ensembl.
GCCUACGGCCAUACCACCCUGAACGCGCCCGAUCUCGUCUGAUCUCGGAAGCUAAGCAGGGUCGGGCCUGGUUAGUACUUGGAUGGGAGGAACCAGGCAGGGACGGCC